AGAUAACAAUAACAUUGGUGAUCC
RNAcentral lists this non-coding RNA (24 nucleotides) under Arabidopsis thaliana (thale cress). Lineage: Eukaryota; Viridiplantae; Streptophyta; Magnoliopsida; Brassicales; Brassicaceae. The record is from RNAcentral.